This 65-nucleotide ribosomal RNA is filed under the name uncultured eukaryote. Its description in RNAcentral is "partial 18S ribosomal RNA". The record is from RNAcentral.
UAUACUGUGAACUGCGAAUGGCUCAUUAAAUCAGUUAUAAUUUAUUUGAUGGUACCUUACUACUC